Molecule: long non-coding RNA, 1704 nt
Organism: Manacus vitellinus (golden-collared manakin)
Lineage: Eukaryota; Metazoa; Chordata; Aves; Passeriformes; Pipridae
Exons: 3
Source: RefSeq, a predicted model, not a curated record
UUGGACAUGUGCUACAGACAGAACAGAUAUUUUCACGUGCCAUUUUUCCAUGGUAACAUGCAGACCAAACCGAGGCUGCUACAUGUUGCAAAGGCAAAUGCAGUUCACAACACAGCUGAUCACUGGUGAUUGAAGACUUUUGGAUAGGAGAACGUGACUGACAUCCAGCAACUGGUCAACAUAACUGCUAUGAAGAUCUCUGCCCUAGGAAGAAACAGGCACUACAGAUCAACUGCUGCACAGUAAUGUGACUGCAAGAAGGCCAGAGGAAAAGUUAGACCUCAUGCUCUAACUUUUAUUUUCCACACCCUCCACAAUAGUAUACUUACACAACUAUCUUGCCCAGCCUUAUCUGACCUUAUAUCUCUGCACAGUGGUUAGGAAAGGAGGCCGGGAAGAAGAGUUGUGAGCUAUUCCUGCCUCUCAGUUGCACUUAGCAUGUGAUGGGAUCUGCCAAAUUUCACUGCUGAGCAUCUGACAGGCAGCAGAGACAGAGCUGCUACUCUGAGCUCUCUGCAUGCAGGAGCAGUUCAGUUGUACUGAGCUCUCAGGCAGUGGCCAAAAAAUGCCAGUGGCAGGAUUCCUUAAAGGGCAAUGUCCCUCAUCCACCUCAGAGACCGGCCGGGACAGCUGAGCCCCGGCUCGCACCACCGCCACCUGCUGCUCGGCGCUGUCCGAUGCAGCUCAGCCAGCGAAAAUUCACAUCUUGAAAAUUAAUUACCGUCUGACAAACGCACCAAAAUACAGCAGUAAAAUUUAACACUCUGCUUAUUUUCUAAUAUUUUCCCUUAAUGUCUCUCCGAGAAUUACUCUUUACAGUAGCUGAAGAGUAUACUGUACUGUACUUGCACAAAAUACACUUGCAUGCACACAUGCAGGGAAGAAGCGUGGCUGAUGGCUUGAAGGCUAGUAACAUAAACUGGAACUAGCCAGCAUAGAAAAGAAUAUGUAUUUUGCGUUAUGUUACUCAUGCUAGUGAAAACAGGUAAAAAGAAGCUGUUGGGUUUGUUUGUUUGUUGUUUUUUAAAGGAAAUAUCUUCCAAAGUUCAGGCAUUUUCAACUUUCCAGAAUUACACAAAUUGUGAUGUUUUUACAUUUACAGCUCCAUUGCUAUUGAAUUUAUAGCUCCUCCUAUCUAUAAAUGCAUGGAUCCAUACCCUGGGUCUCUUUAAUACCUAUAUCGAUCAAUUUAGAUAUAUUUUAUAAAAGCUGACAGUUUCUGUUAACUCAAGACUGAAUGGUACGAUUGGAAUGCUAUGCAACUUUGAUUUGUAAUAUGAAAAGAUUUGCAAUGAUAUGUGUAUUCAGAUAACUAAAAAAAACUUAUUACUGCUUAUAUUGUUUGACAGUUAAAGGUAACAUGUUUAAUACUUGCAGUAUUUGCUAUUGGUCUUAAGCUGUAAAAAGUUUAAUGGAACACAUGCCAUUAUAUCUCAACCAACAAUCACAAGUUAUCAGAAGGAGGAGAAAAAUCUGACUUAACACAUACCGAGCACUUAUUAGAAGGUAAAUAUAUUCCAGAGCAGAGUGAUUCAUUGAAAGAUUGCUUUUCUGUUUUGGAGAAAGACUUUAUACAAAAGAUAAAAGAAAGCAGCAAACAAACUCUUCUGAGCCCAUACUUACAAUAUAUAUUAUAGCUUGACAUGGCUUAUACUUACUACAUGAGGCUCAGUUUUCACAUAUAGAUCAUCAUGUUUUUGAGAA